RNAcentral lists this ribosomal RNA (889 nucleotides) under Helotiales sp. Its description in RNAcentral is "SSU rRNA". It matches the Rfam family "Eukaryotic small subunit ribosomal RNA", at positions 72 to 969 of the family's 1831-position model. Lineage: Eukaryota; Fungi; Ascomycota; Leotiomycetes; Helotiales. The record is from RNAcentral.
AUCUAUACGGUGAAACUGCGAAUGGCUCAUUAAAUCAGUUAUCGUUUAUUUGAUAGUACCUUACUACUUGGAUAACCGUGGUAAUUCUAGAGCUAAUACAUGCUAAAAACCCCAACUUCGGAAGGGGUGUAUUUAUUAGAUAAAAAACCAAUGCCCUUCGGGGCUCCUUGGUGAUUCAUAAUAACUUAACGAAUCGCAUGGCCUUGUGCCGGCGAUGGUUCAUUCAAAUUUCUGCCCUAUCAACUUUCGAUGGUAGAGUAGUGGUCUACCAUGGUUUCAACGGGUAACGGGGAAUUAGGGUUCUAUUCCGGAGAGGGAGCCUGAGAAACGGCUACCACAUCCAAGGAAGGCAGCAGGCGCGCAAAUUACCCAAUCCCGACACGGGGAGGUAGUGACAAUAAAUACUGAUACAGGGCUCUUUUGGGUCUUGUAAUUGGAAUGAGUACAAUUUAAAUCCCUUAACGAGGAACAAUUGGAGGGCAAGUCUGGUGCCAGCAGCCGCGGUAAUUCCAGCUCCAAUAGCGUAUAUUAAAGUUGUUGCAGUUAAAAAGCUCGUAGUUGAACCUUGGGCCUGGCUGGCCGGUCCGCCUCACCGCGUGCACUGGUCCGGCCGGGCCUUUCCUUCUAGGGAACCUCAUGCCCUUCACUGGGUGUGCUGGGGAACUAGGACUUUUACUUUGAAAAAAUUAGAGUGUUCAAAGCAGGCCUAUGCUCGAAUACAUUAGCAUGGAAUAAUAGAAUAGGACGUGUGGUUCUAUUUUGUUGGUUUCUAGGACCGCCGUAAUGAUUAAUAGGGAUAGUCGGGGGCGUCAGUAUUCAAUUGUCAGAGGUGAAAUUCUUGGAUUUAUUGAAGACUAACUACUGCGAAAGCAUUCGCCAAGGGAUGUUU